RNAcentral lists this transfer RNA (64 nucleotides) under marine eukaryotic metagenome. It matches the Rfam family "tRNA", at positions 5 to 66 of the family's 71-position model. From Rfam's summary of the family: Transfer RNA (tRNA) molecules are approximately 80 nucleotides in length. Their secondary structure includes four short double-helical elements and three loops (D, anti-codon, and T loops). Further hydrogen bonds mediate the characteristic L-shaped molecular structure. tRNAs have two regions of fundamental functional importance: the anti-codon, which is responsible for specific mRNA codon recognition, and the 3' end, to which the tRNAs corresponding amino acid is attached (by aminoacyl-tRNA synthetases). tRNAs cope with the degeneracy of the genetic code in two manners: having more than one tRNA (with a specific anti-codon) for a particular amino acid; and 'wobble' base-pairing, i.e. permitting non-standard base-pairing at the 3rd anti-codon position. The record is from RNAcentral.
AGUUUAGCUCAGUGGUAGAGCAACGGUUUUGUAAACCGUCGGUCGUCGGUUCGAAUCCGACAAC